UUGAAAGACCAGUUCCCGUACGAUCAUCGAAGUUAAGCAACGUCGAGCCUGAUCAGUACCUAGAUGGGUGACCGCUUGGGGAAUACCAGGUACAGU
This 96-nucleotide ribosomal RNA is filed under the name Acanthosepion pharaonis. Lineage: Eukaryota; Metazoa; Mollusca; Cephalopoda; Sepiida; Sepiidae. The record is from RNAcentral.